RNAcentral lists this ribosomal RNA (1675 nucleotides) under Salmonella enterica subsp. enterica serovar Kedougou. RNAcentral describes it as "bacterial LSU rRNA". It matches the Rfam family "Bacterial large subunit ribosomal RNA", at positions 1156 to 2812 of the family's 2925-position model. Lineage: Bacteria; Pseudomonadati; Pseudomonadota; Gammaproteobacteria; Enterobacterales; Enterobacteriaceae. The record is from RNAcentral.
GGCCUGCGCGGAAGAUGUAACGGGGCUAAACCAUGCACCGAAGCUGCGGCAGCGACGCUUAUGCGUUCGUUGGGUAGGGGAGCGUUCUGUAAGCCUGUGAAGGUGGCCUGUGAGGGUUGCUGGAGGUAUCAGAAGUGCGAAUGCUGACAUAAGUAACGAUAAAGCGGGUGAAAAGCCCGCUCGCCGGAAGACCAAGGGUUCCUGUCCAACGUUAAUCGGGGCAGGGUGAGUCGACCCCUAAGGCGAGGCCGAAAGGCGUAGUCGAUGGGAAACGGGUUAAUAUUCCCGUACUUGGUGUUACUGCGAAGGGGGGACGGAGAAGGCUAUGUUGGCCGGGCGACGGUUGUCCCGGUUUAAGCGUGUAGGUGUGUGUUCCAGGUAAAUCCGGUUCACUUUAACACUGAGGCGUGAUGACGAGGCACUACGGUGCUGAAGCAACAAAUGCCCUGCUUCCAGGAAAAGCCUCUAAGCAUCAGGUAACAUCAAAUCGUACCCCAAACCGACACAGGUGGUCAGGUAGAGAAUACCAAGGCGCUUGAGAGAACUCGGGUGAAGGAACUAGGCAAAAUGGUGCCGUAACUUCGGGAGAAGGCACGCUGACAUGUAGGUGAAGUGAUUUACUCAUGGAGCUGAAGUCAGUCGAAGAUACCAGCUGGCUGCAACUGUUUAUUAAAAACACAGCACUGUGCAAACACGAAAGUGGACGUAUACGGUGUGACGCCUGCCCGGUGCCGGAAGGUUAAUUGAUGGGGUCAGCGCAAGCGAAGCUCCUGAUCGAAGCCCCGGUAAACGGCGGCCGUAACUAUAACGGUCCUAAGGUAGCGAAAUUCCUUGUCGGGUAAGUUCCGACCUGCACGAAUGGCGUAAUGAUGGCCAGGCUGUCUCCACCCGAGACUCAGUGAAAUUGAACUCGCUGUGAAGAUGCAGUGUACCCGCGGCAAGACGGAAAGACCCCGUGAACCUUUACUAUAGCUUGACACUGAACAUUGAGCCUUGAUGUGUAGGAUAGGUGGGAGGCUUUGAAGUGUGGACGCCAGUCUGCAUGGAGCCGACCUUGAAAUACCACCCUUUAAUGUUUGAUGUUCUAACGUGGACCCGUGAUCCGGGUUGCGGACAGUGUCUGGUGGGUAGUUUGACUGGGGCGGUCUCCUCCUAAAGAGUAACGGAGGAGCACGAAGGUUGGCUAAUCCUGGUCGGACAUCAGGAGGUUAGUGCAAUGGCAUAAGCCAGCUUGACUGCGAGCGUGACGGCGCGAGCAGGUGCGAAAGCAGGUCAUAGUGAUCCGGUGGUUCUGAAUGGAAGGGCCAUCGCUCAACGGAUAAAAGGUACUCCGGGGAUAACAGGCUGAUACCGCCCAAGAGUUCAUAUCGACGGCGGUGUUUGGCACCUCGAUGUCGGCUCAUCACAUCCUGGGGCUGAAGUAGGUCCCAAGGGUAUGGCUGUUCGCCAUUUAAAGUGGUACGCGAGCUGGGUUUAGAACGUCGUGAGACAGUUCGGUCCCUAUCUGCCGUGGGCGCUGGAGAACUGAGGGGGGCUGCUCCUAGUACGAGAGGACCGGAGUGGACGCAUCACUGGUGUUCGGGUUGUCAUGCCAAUGGCACUGCCCGGUAGCUAAAUGCGGAAGAGAUAAGUGCUGAAAGCAUCUAAGCACGAAACUUGCCCCGAGAUGAGUUCU